This 394-nucleotide ribosomal RNA is filed under the name uncultured bacterium. RNAcentral's name for it is "bacterial SSU rRNA". It matches the Rfam family "Bacterial small subunit ribosomal RNA", at positions 29 to 418 of the family's 1533-position model. The record is from RNAcentral.
AACGAACGUUGGCGGCGUGGAUUAGGCAUGCAAGUCGAACGAAUCCCAGGGGGGUAACUCUCUGGGGGAAGUGGCGAAAGGGGCAGUAAGGCGUGGGUAACUUGCCCCGGGAUUUGGAAUAGCCUUCCUAACGGAAGGGUAAUACCAGAUGCCAUGAUCGGAGGGCAUCCUCUGGUCAUGAAAGCUCAGGCGUCCCGGGAGAGGCUCACGUGGUAUUAGCUAGUUGGUGAGGUAACGGCUCACCAAGGCUUAGAUGCCUAGCAGGUGUGAGAGCACGACCUGCGCCACUGGCACUGAGACACUGGCCAGACUCCUACGGGGAGGCUGCAGUCGAGGAUCUUCGGCAAUGGGCGCAAGCCUGACCGAGCGACGCCGCGUGUGCGAUGAAGGCCUU